Molecule: small nuclear RNA, 105 nt
Organism: Heterocephalus glaber (naked mole-rat)
Lineage: Eukaryota; Metazoa; Chordata; Mammalia; Rodentia; Bathyergidae
Source: Ensembl
UUGCUUCAGUAGCACAUAUACUAAAAUUGAAAUGAUACAAUACAGAGAUUAGCAUGGCCCCUGCACAAGGAUGACAGGCAAACUUGAGAAAAGACCAAAAGUUAG